GUGUUCACUUAGGCAGCACAUAUACAAAAAUGGGAACUACGCAGAGAAAAUUAGCAUGGCCCCUGUGCAAGGAUGACACAAAUUCAUGAAGCAUUCCAUAGUUUU
Camelus dromedarius (Arabian camel) is the source of this 105-nucleotide small nuclear RNA. The record is from Ensembl. Lineage: Eukaryota; Metazoa; Chordata; Mammalia; Artiodactyla; Camelidae.